Athalia rosae (coleseed sawfly) is the source of this 4490-nucleotide long non-coding RNA. RefSeq lists it as uncharacterized. NCBI's taxonomy places the organism in Eukaryota, Metazoa, Arthropoda, Insecta, Hymenoptera, Athaliidae. The transcript is spliced from 8 exons. The record is from RefSeq and is a predicted model, not a curated record.
UUGUUGUGAGACGUCACCUUCAGGGCUGAGCAGAGGUUACGCCCCACAACAAACCGCACGCCCGUGGCUACCUGACUCCAGCUAAACUUGGGCUCCCUCGUAGACCGAGAAAAUUCGAAUACUUCGACCUAUGCAAGAUAUCAUGCGGAAAUCUCAGCAGUGCUUGGGAUGAAAAGAAAUGAAAAAAAUCUGCGUAUUGGCGUUUGAAUAAUUCAUCGUAGCUUUCACAUAUAUUAUACUGGCAGAGGAAAGUUGAAAUUGUUGGUAUAUAUCUACAGAUAAAUUUAUUCUGUAGCACAGCGAGAUGGGGAAGUCGUAAAACAUUUCGCUCAGUAUUACACGUAUAUAGCAAAGAAAUGUUGAGGAAAAAUAGGGGUAAAAAAAUGAAAAAAACAUUAAAAAAUAGAUGAGAUAGAAGUAAUGUAGAUAACAAAAAAAAGGGAGGAAAGUUCGACAAUUUUCAAAGUUAUUUUUGCGGAUCAAUAAUACAUACGGGGAUGUUUAUUGGCUAAGGGGUCUUAACCAAUAGAAAUUCAGGGAGAUAUUCACCCUCCAAAGUUAUUUUGUAGGCGUGAUUUACCUCACGGAACCUGCGCACCUCCGGAAAAUGAUUCUAUUGGAGAGACCGAACAACCAAUGGGGUGACUUUCUUGUGGUAAAAAGUUAGGUGUAUAUACCUAUGUAUAGCGAAAUCAGUUGUACAUACAUAGGUAGGUAUGUAACAUAGGUAUACAUACAGUAUUCCACAUUAAGGGGGUUGCGAGAAAAUCAAAAUGAAAGUUAUAGAAAAAAGGGCGAAAAAUAAAUUUUAUUUUUUCAUGAUUUUCAUCUUCUUUCUUCUAUUCUUUAUUCAGACUAAUUUUGCCCUACGAUGUGGAAGAAAUUAAAACGAAUCCGUUUUUGUACGAAUUUUUUCCUCGAGGAUCUGGAUUGCGAUGCAAUAUAAUUUUUUUUCUUUCUUUCCAUACGUAUUUGAUUGACAUUAUCACGAUUGGAUGAUCGGUGUACAAAUUGAGACAAAGAUCAAAUGAAUAACAUGAAUAUCAAUUGACAACGCAACAUUUAUAAUUGCAAUUGCAAGCGUGAUUUUAAUCGCGAGGAAUAUUUCAGAUGUUGAAAGAUAUGAGAUAUAAAUACGACAUCGCUCUGCGUUGUAAUUCUAUAUUGUGGGGUGCAGGCGAGGCUCCCCCAUGUACAGAUAGAUGCGUAUAGAUAUAUAUUAUACAUAUAUCAUAUAAAAUAAAUUCCCGUGACUGCACAGAAAUAAAUGCACAAUAACUGCCGUACCGUAGAAACUUUAUAGCUAUCUACUUGAAUAGUUUUGUCGCGGGGUCAUCCGCGAGUAGUUAUAAGUAUACGGGAGACGAGAGAUGCGACUGGGUAUGAGGGGAAGAAGAGAUGGUGGAAGAAAAAAAUAAAGGGGGGUUGAAAAUGAGGGGGCGAAUAAUGUCGUUCCGUUUUAUUCGCGGUAUAUAGGCGAGCCGAAGUUCUAGCUGCUGUAUAAGGGAUGAAAACGAUGGAUAGUUUCGAGGCUGUUGACUCAUGUUAAGUGCUUAGUAUAAGUUAGUCGGGGGUUGUUGGCGCGGGAUGAAAAAGGGGAUGAAAAGAAAAUAUAUUGGCUUCGAAUGUCCACAUAGAAAAUAUACCGUAUACGUACAACCCUCACCCCCUCCCAACGAUGCUCCGCAGAAACAUCUAUUAACUUAACGGAGUUUCAAUGCGAAUUUAAUAAUAAUGCCGUAGCGGAGCGUACAUCCCAUAAAUUAUGCAAGGUUCGAUUCGAGUUUAGCACUUGAUUCACCUUUAUAUCUGCAUUUUCAAAAAAUUUUAUCCGGAGUAAAAAAAAUUGUUUUUUAUUUUAUAACUGUCUCACUAAAAAUAAAGAAAAGUAAACAAAAAAAAAUUGUAAAAUUAUAAAUUUUAGGUAACCCAUAAAUUGGUCGAAGUAAAAAGUUCAUUUACAAAUGGAACGAAAAUCUCAGCCAUUAAUCCACGCUGAUUUGAGGGAAACUCGGGGGUGAUUUUCCGCUGCUCAAUUCAAGGGAUGAUAAGGGAUCACAAGGACAUUUCUCGACUGACGACAACACCACGACCAAUGGUUCCAGACUCCUGAAAGACAACGAAUUAAUUCAAGAGGGUUGAAUAAUUCAGCACGUGCAGUGGAUGUCGGUGGCGUUACUUAUCGGCAUUUGCUAAAAUUUGGCGGUUUUCUAAGAUGGGGAAGAUUUUUAUUGGGAAAACAUUGUUCCAAUAUAGGUGACAAAUUACCUUGCAAAUUACUCAUAAUCAGAGCUCGAACUUCUUGUUCAGGUCCUCAAGAGCAGCACUAAUUGAGCAACAAUCAAUUACCAACUACGACGCAGCACUUGGCGUCAUGAUGAACAUCCGAUCCCAUCCGAAACCCGCACUCUCCGCGAAUAAAUUCUUCGUCCUUUAUCCAAACAACCGAUACUGGUUCUUCUGAAUCUCUACAGGAUUUCACAAAUGUCUGGACGAGUCGUUGGUUGUUCGGCAAAAAUGAAUACGAGGCACUUCCUAUCACUGCGGAUACACGAAUGAAUAUGGGGCACAGAACGUUCGCGAACCUUCUAGAUUGCGAUGGUUUAAACAAAAGACAGUCUCGGGCUUCGAGAAGCUUCUUGAGGAAAAGUCGGUUAGCAACAGCGAGUGAGUCGAAAUAAAUCGUAGAAGCAAUCGUGUAAUCAAGGCUAGCCUCUAUAAUAAUUUUUGAUAUAAUUUAUCAUUCAAAACUUACCGAUACUGGUUUCUCUGAAUCCCUACACGAUUUCACAAAUGUCUGGACGAGUCGUUGAUUAUUCGGCAAAAAUGAAUACGAGGCACUUCCUAUCACUGCAGAUACAAGAAUGAAUAUGGGGCACAGAACGUUCGCGAACCUUCUAGAUUGCGAUGGUUUAAACAGAAGACAGUCUCGAGCGUCGAGAAGCUUCUUGUGGAAUAGUCGGUUAGCAACAUUUUGAUCCAGACUAGUAACGGUCGAACUCUUACUGUCCAUUUUUGAUGCAUCGGAAGGAACCCCCGACUUCAGUUGCUCUCCUGAUUUCAAGGGCUGACUUCCGCCAAGUCCACCACGAUCGCUGUAAAGCUUUUGAGAAUAAUCUGGAAGAUUUUCACGAACAACCGUCUCCGGCCUGGUGUCUCGGGUCGUUGUACUUACUUAUCUAGCUGUGACUAGUCAUUAUUUCGACUUGCAUGCAUGAUGCAGAUCUACAAGGGUCUACGAUCGGAAUAUCAGAUUCCAGACUGCAAUAGCUGGCACAUGAAUGUCACUCAUAGACUCUUCCACCGAUGCGACAAACAUUCAAUCUUGCUUUCCUUGAUGAAGUCUCCUCGUUCGAUCGAUCUUCGACCAUCGGCACAAUGCAGCAAUUCUUGAGGCGAUCUUCUUGGUCAUUGUCUAAACUUUUUGUUUGAUGAUCAUCAACUACAUUCAUCCUGUGAUCAUCUACUCGCAACAAGUUCCUCACACUACCUUCGACAUAUUGGACUCAUCGCCCCUUCUUCAACUUACUAGACAGCUAAAGCCAUCAGGGAAGCAGAGAUUCUGGGUAAAAUCCAAGACUCUCGAGAUCUUGGAGGCGGCUCGAGUCUGGACUUGGUACCAGCAACGAUGGGGAAAGAAAAAACAAAAUCGAAGAAUGAAAAACGAAGAAAGAAGAAUGAAGAAAGAAGACAGUGAGAACAAUAAAUGAACAUUUCAGUUUAAGGUUCGAUGUGAUAUUAAAUAAUUUAAUUAGAGUAUAAAAACUUUAUGAAAAUGACAAUAAUCUGAUGUAUGAGCGGAUUUAAUUACAAGCAUAGAUGUAUUGAACGUAUUAUAUUUUUCAAUGCUAUCAUAAUUAUAAGAAAAUAAGUAAAUUAGGUAAAAAAUUAAUUAUAAGUUUAGCAUCUAAGGAACAACUGUAAGUACAUUUAGUGGUCAGAAACCCCCACCCAAAGAUGCCCGUAAUAGUAUCAGAUAAUAAAAGAAUAGGAUGUCUAAUCAUAUGAGAAUUUUCUUUUCUUCACACAGAUAUCUUUCAGCCCUUAAGAUUUUUCAUGAUAAAUUGACCUACAUGAUAUUAAUUCAAUUCUUUCACUAGUAAUAUAAAUCUUCAAUGAUAACUGCAUUCAUUCACAAGUAAUCCAGCUCAUUGAAUUUUUUCAAUCGCAUUUGUAGUCAUUUGAUGUAUAAAUCAUUCAGAGAUUAUUAUAUUUUGGCCAUUCAGAACACACACCUUUUCAAAAUUUUAUAAAAUUUUUGGCUUCUGCCAGGGCAUGGGCAGCCCGUACUAUAUUUUUACAAACAACAGGUAUUGGUGACUCUUUGAACGAAAUACCACGGCAAUGAAUGUGAUAUGUAUGAGUAAGAUUGGUAUGAAUAAAAUGUACAAACACAUGGGAAUUUUCUUUCCCUACAAACACAGCCCUUAAUUUUUUAUCAUUAAAAAUAUACAAAUUUGAAUCAUUUCGGCCUAAAAAACACACACCUC